GGAAGUUGGGUGUGCCUUCCCCCGCGAUGGUUUCGUCCUCAACCUUGAAAUAACAAGAUAAACUCAAUAAUCACAUCCAAUCAACAAUCUAAAAUGAAAGGAAGGAAACUCGAGGCUUACCUAACCGGAAAUAUAGAAGUGACUCGUCGGAGAUCCGUCCUAGGUUCGUUGACCUCGCAAAGAUGAGAGGGAGAGAGAGAGAGAGAACAAGAUUUAGAUGGUGAUGAUGGUUCCCUCGAGCGAGGUGCGGCUGUGCAUGCGCAUGGAUGAGUGAGUGGUCAUGGCGAGAGAGGGAAUGAUAGGGUUUGG
Molecule: long non-coding RNA, 309 nt
Filed under: Malus domestica (apple)
Lineage: Eukaryota; Viridiplantae; Streptophyta; Magnoliopsida; Rosales; Rosaceae
Description: long non-coding RNA (MDOM_LNC008888)
Source: RNAcentral